CUUUAUUUUAACACCUAAUCUAUUUUUAUGAUAGAAUUUCAAUUAUUACACUGAAUUUGAGUCUUUUACUCUUGAGUUUACUUAAAAUUUUUUAAAAGUAAAACUUCGAUAAUAAUUUUUUAUUGACUGCAUUAUUAAAUUUUUGAUUCUGAUAGUUUAGACAAAUUAUACUAUUCGAAGAUUGUUGCAGAAUUCCUUACUUUGGAGCAACAAAGAUCAUUUCAAAGUUACGAAACGUCGUCCGGAACGUAAAACAG
Molecule: unclassified non-coding RNA, 257 nt
Filed under: Hevea brasiliensis (rubber tree)
Lineage: Eukaryota; Viridiplantae; Streptophyta; Magnoliopsida; Malpighiales; Euphorbiaceae
Source: RNAcentral